AUGGCCUGGGUUCCACUCCUCUUCCUGCUGCUUGCUCACUGCACAGGUUCCCUCUCUCAGCCUGUGCUCACUCAGCCGCCCUCCCUCUCUGCACCACUGGAUGGCACUGCCAGACUCAGCUGCACCCUCAGCAGUGGAUACAGUGUAGGAAGUUAUGGUGUAGCUUGGUUCCAGCAGAGGCCAGGGAGUCCUCCUAAGUAUCUCCUGACCUACAACCCGUACAAAGAUAAACAGGAGGGCUCCAGGAUCCCCAGCCGCUUUUCUGGAUCCAAAGACGACACAGCCAACGCAGGAAUCCUGAGCAUCUCUGGGCUGCAGCCUGAGGAUGAGGCUGACUAUUACUGCGCUACAGCUUAUGCCAGUGAGGACAGUAUUGGUUUGACACAGCGCUUCAGAUGA
This is a non-coding RNA of Ochotona curzoniae (black-lipped pika), 399 nucleotides long. NCBI's taxonomy places the organism in Eukaryota, Metazoa, Chordata, Mammalia, Lagomorpha, Ochotonidae. The record is from the annotation of a RefSeq genome assembly.